RNA transcript from Sorghum bicolor (sorghum), 690 nucleotides. RefSeq lists it as uncharacterized. The record is from RefSeq and is a predicted model, not a curated record. Lineage: Eukaryota; Viridiplantae; Streptophyta; Magnoliopsida; Poales; Poaceae. The transcript has 3 exons.
UCUCUCCCUCCUCCACCUCACCACUGCUGGAUCGUUCCUCCAUGAGGCUUGUGCAGGCGCAAGGAACGCAGCGGCGGCCUCCCUAUACCCUCGGGUCACAGCUGCUAUCCUUGGUACAAUGGCUUCGUCGGCCAAAUCCGGUGCCUUGGUGGCCGGAUCCGGUGUUUCUAAGGUUGGAUCUGCACGGUGCUUUUUCGGCAGGGCGCAACGGCAGCAGUGGAGGCGCGAUGGGCCGCAGGCCACCGGUCAGUCUCCAUCGUCGCUGAAAAAUAAUAUCCAGUAUGCAAGUCCUUACCGGGUGUAGGAGGCUACGGGCAGUGCCGCCAUUUUCAAGGGCGUUUGGAAGAGCAUUAGCUGGGAGCUUCCAUCGCAUGAGUGGGGAGCAGCACGGCACGGGUGUGAGCGCAUGCACUGGCGCAAGUGAAAUUAAAUUGGAGGAGGUUGCUAUUCUGAAUUACGCUUACACAAAGCUCUUCGACUUCAUCUCAAGGUGGAAUAUGGGUGUUGCUGAACAAUGUGAAACCAUAUUUUAUCUUGGAAUUUGACAGAAUGGAAAUUGGCUUUGCUGAUAGUCUCUUCGGAUUGUUUAGCUAGGUGAACAUACCUUAUUGUACGAACAACAGUCAUUUACUGAUCCGCUAACGCUCUUGUCAUAUCGAAGUAUAAAUAAUCUUUAUCAGGUUUAUCAAA